GCAUAUCAAUUAUCAAAUAAUUUUUUUUAUUUAAAUUCAACUCAUUCAAAUUCAAUUAAUUCAAUUUUUAUAAAACACUCCCUAAAAUGAUUCAGAUUAAUGUUACUAGUCUAUUCUAAUGUAGUAAUGGUCAAUCGGGAGUUGAGCCCAAGAUUAAAGCUUUGGGGUUUAAGAACUUCGAAGAUAGGGGGGAAGAAUAUGAUAAUAAUUUCUUUGAGACAGGGCAAUAAUAAUAUCAUGUGCCUAAUAACAAAAGUAAUGCAUGCAUAAUUAAAAAUCCUGGAUUUCUUCGAAACUACAUGAUCAGCCGGCCCGGCAUACAUCACGCAUCUACGAUCCAUCCAAUUAAUUCUAUAAACAUAAUUUUAUUUAAUCGAGAUUUAAUAUUAAAGAAAUAAAAACUGUAUUCCGUCAUUAAAAGAGUUUUAUUUGAAUUAUGAUGUAAACUUAAUUUGACGAUUGAAAUUUAAUAUGUUUUGUUUAGGUAAACAAUUGCAUGAAUCAAAAUUGAAUUUUUGAAUCCGUUGGACCAACUCUUACGUUUGGAUUGAAGUAAUGAAGCUAAGAAUGAAAUGACUCAUUCUUGUGAAAUAAAAAAAAUUAUAUUUGGUUGCGAUGAGAAUAGGUUGAACCAUUCUUAUUUCUCCUAAAUUUAUAAAUUUUAUUCUUCAGGGUUAAGAGAGUAUGAAAUAAUACAUUCCAUUCUCCAUUUCAUUUCAUUCCAUUCCUUCGAUCUAAACGUAGUAUUGAUUCUUCUUUUUCAUAUCAAUGGAUCGUCCGUCGCAAAUGUAAUCAGACGUAUUAAUUUUAACUAGCGACGGAUUUGGUCUGCGUCUGUUGCAAAAUAUCAUUCUUCAACUAGUAUUUUAAGCCCAGAUGUCUAGGGGUCCUAAGCUUAGCAGAUUUGUACUGAGGCUGAACAUCCCAGUUAAACAUCUUGAUGGCCCAAUGAAAACUCAUAACGAGAAAUAGGCCCAUUUAACUACUGUUUGAUAAAAUUGAAUGUUAAGAUCCGAACAAUUUAGAUAUUUAAAUAAUGUAGAACAUCUUAAUAAAAUUGUAUCUGAAUAAAAAAUAUUGUUUGAUAAUUAAUUUUUUCAAAAUGUCUUUUAAUAACAAUUUUUUACCAUAUUACCCUUAAACUCUUUUCUCUCUCUCAGAUUUCGGCGAUUGAAGCACCAAAAUUAACCGUAACAAAGAACAAAACAAAGCAGAUCAAUUAAUAGAGAAGACCAAAACCCACAACAAACAACGGCAAAAGUCACCUCGACGCGGAUUGGAUGCAUCGCAAGGAGACCCACCUAAGCACUCCAUGGAUUCCAGCAAAAAUUCCAGUUUAUGCACCUCAGUCAUGAAAAAUUGAUUCCAUAGUCGUCAUGAGAUAUAUAUGGAGUAUAUAUAUACAGUCCAUUUUAAAGGUUUACCCCUUUAUUUUAUAUACCAUGCUCACCUUUUUUAGCCACGAAUCGAUCGACGAUUCUGUCCUUCGCUAUAUUAAAAAAUUAUAGUCUUAAUUUUUAACGACAGAGACAGACAACAUAGGGUUGUGCUAUAUAUAUGUCAACUAUCGAUCCACCCAUAAAAUUAAUGGGAAUCAUCUUUUCUCUAAAAUAUUUUUUUUAACAAAUUAUGGAAAGUAGUAAACUGCUCUUAAUUAAUUAUGCAACUGCACAUACAGUCGUACGUGGAUUCAGAUCGGCUGCAUCGCAAGGAGACCCACCUAAGUAAUGCAUGAAUUCCAACAAAAAAUAAGUACGAGCAACGACGGUAUGGGGAGGAGGAGGGAGAAGAUGGAUUUUAUAAUAUUGAAAAAAUUAUUAUUUUUUUAAAAAUAGUUAAUGUGAUUUAGAUCACCUUUAAAUAAUAUAAAUUUAAUUUCAUAUUUUAUUGAUUAAGAGGCAUUAAGAGAUAAAAAUAAAUUUAUCAAAAAUUAAAAAUAUACUCAUUAAAAACUAUUCAAAUAUAAACAAACACAACCUUAGUCAAGCUAUUCUAAUAGAAGUCAACUUAAUUGAACAUGUAGUAGAUCAAAAACAACAAAACUCCUCUUCAUCCUCUUUUUAACUUCUAGUAGUUUUUUUUUAUAUAAAAAAUCCCUCUUUUUUACGUUACUGUCUUAAAUAUGAUUAGAAAUUACUAUUAUUUUUACAAGAAAACAUACUAAUCCCUUUCUCCAUAAAAUAACAAUGAAAAUUAUAAAAAUGGAAUGGCUCUUUUUUUCUUGAGACAAAAGGACUUCUAGUUUAAAGGUGUUUAUAGAACUAGUACAUUUUUCUGGUGGGAUUUAUAUAUUUAUAAAAUUAGUACAUUUUUUUCUGUUACUAUAACAUAUAAAGCUGACAACAUAACGAUAGUAAGAGUUCGAACCGUCGUCAUAACUAAAAAUCGUCUAUAGUCGAUUCAUUUUAAUUCAUGCUUAUAAGUUUAGAAAAACAAUUUGACUUAUCAAAAUGUAGAUUUUACAAAGAUUAAGAUGCAAAUUGUUUAAAUGCCAAGUAUGCAAAUUAUUUUGACCCUUAGACUAUCUUUAUUUACAAAGAUUAUUUUUAAUCAUAAGAUUAUAAUAAAAUUAUAAUUCUAGAAUUAUAAUUAUAAUUUUAAUACUAUUAAAUUAUUUUAUAAUUCUUAAAUUAAUAGUCUCAAAUCUUAUUUUAAAAACAAACAAGAUAUUUAAAAUUAAUAAUCAUAUUCAAAUAAUUUAAGGGCCUAAAUUAUAGCAUGCAGUUGGUGAUUUAGUUUCUUUGUGAGUUUUGAUUUGGGGGAAGGCCGAAGGGAAAGUUUUUUUUUUUUUUGGUUAGAAUAAUAAAAAAUGAUAAUUGUGGUACAUAUGAAGUAUAAUUAUAAGUGUCAAAGACGAGAAAUAGAAGAGAACAAAAACUAACAUUAAUUGCAAAUUAAAUAAAAAGAAUUAUACUAUAUAUACAUUUUUCUUAAGGCCAAACAAGGUCAACACACACCCUCAAGUCGGAUAAAUCCUCCCCAAAAUUAUCUCCCUUGUUGCACCGGCCGUCGGCCGGAGUUGUUGCCGGCUGUUUAGCAACCCUUUUCUCAGUAAAGCAAGUUGCACCGGUUGAGGUAGAGGCACCACAAGAAGAGAGAGGCAAUGAUGUUGAGUAGGCUAAGUCCGUGUUUGGGUGUUUGAGAAGUUCAGACACAAGAAGAACAAGAGAAGCCAUUAUUUGAGAGAGAGAUGAGAAUAUUUGAAAAAGAAGUUGUUUGAUUUUGAUUAAUUAAUGGAGAAUAUGGUGAGUGAAUGUGUAGUAUUUAUUGGGGUUAUAAAUUAAAUGAAGCUCUUGAAUACUAGUAAAGAGUAGCCCACUGGUUUGGAGAUGGGUG
This 3336-nucleotide long non-coding RNA is filed under the name Panax ginseng (ginseng). Its description in RNAcentral is "long non-coding RNA (PGIN_LNC001915)". The record is from RNAcentral. Lineage: Eukaryota; Viridiplantae; Streptophyta; Magnoliopsida; Apiales; Araliaceae.